RNAcentral lists this ribosomal RNA (497 nucleotides) under uncultured bacterium. RNAcentral's name for it is "partial 16S ribosomal RNA". It matches the Rfam family "Bacterial small subunit ribosomal RNA", at positions 28 to 507 of the family's 1533-position model. The record is from RNAcentral.
GAUGAACGCUGGCGGCGUGCCUAAUACAUGCAAGUCGAGCGAACAGACGAGGAGCUUGCUCCUCUGACGUUAGCGGCGGACGGGUGUGUAACACGUGGAUAACCUACCUAUAAGACUGGGAUAACUUCGGGAAACCGGAGCUAAUACCGGAUAAUAUAUUGAACCGCAUGGUUCAAUAGUGAAAGACGGUUUUGCUGUCACUUAUAGAUGGUUCCGCGCCGCAUUAGCUAGUUGGUAAGGUAACGGCUUACCAAGGCGACGAUGCGUAGCCGACCUGAGAGGGUGAUCGGCCACACUGGAACUGAGACACGGUCCAGACUCCUACGGGAGGCAGCAGUAGGGAAUCUUCCGCAAUGGGCGAAAGCCUGACGGAGCAACGCCGCGUGAGUGAUGAAGGUCUUCGGAUCGUAAAACUCUGUUAUUAGGGAAGAACAAAUGUGUAAGUAACUAUGCACGUCUUGACGGUACCUAAUCAGAAAGCCACGGCUAACUACGUG